CCUACGGGCGGCAGCAGUAGGGAAUCUUCCACAAUGGGCGAAAGCCUGAUGGAGCAACGCCGCGUGAGUGAAGAAGGUCUUCGGAUCGUAAAACUCUGUCGUUAGAGAAGAAAGCGCGUGAGUGUAACUGUUCACGUUUCGACGGUAACUAACCAGAAAGCAACGGCUAACUACGUGCCAGCAGCCGCGGUAAUACGUAGGUGGCAAGCGUUAUCCGGAUUUAUUGGGCGUAAAGGGAACGCAGGCGGUCUAUUAAGUCUGAUGUGAAAGCCUUCGGCUUAACCGGAGUAGUGCAUUGGAAACUGGGAGGCUAGAGUGCAUAAGAGAGGGGUAGAACUCCAUGUGUAGCGGUGAAAUGCGUAGAGAUAUGGAGGAACACCGAAGGCGAAAGCAGCUCUUUGGU
This 403-nucleotide ribosomal RNA is filed under the name uncultured bacterium. RNAcentral's name for it is "partial 16S ribosomal RNA". It matches the Rfam family "Bacterial small subunit ribosomal RNA", at positions 338 to 733 of the family's 1533-position model. The record is from RNAcentral.